GAGCCCGCACUUGAUUAGUUUGUUGGUGGGGUAAUGGCCUACCAAGACUUUGAUCAAUAGCUGAUUUGAGAGGAUGAUCAGCCACAUUGGGACUGAGACACGGCCCAAACUCCUACGGGAGGCAGCAGUGGGGAAUCUUGCACAAUGGAGGAAACUCUGAUGCAGCGAUGCCGCGUGAGUGAAGAAGGCCCUUGGGUUGUAAAGCUCUUUCGUCGGGGAAGAAAAUGACUGUACCCGAAUAAGAAGGUCCGGCUAACUUCGUGCCAGCAGCCGCGGUAAUACGAAGGGACCUAGCGUAGUUCGGAAUUACUGGGCUUAAAGAGUUCGUAGGUGGUUGAAAAAGUUGGUGGUGAAAUCCCAGAGCUUAACUCUGGAACUGCCAUCAAAACUUUUCAGCUAGAGUUUGAUAGAGGAAAGCAGAAUUUCUAGUGUAGAGGUGAAAUUCGUAGAUAUUAGAAAGAAUACCAAUUGCGAAGGCAGCUUUCUGGAUCAUUACUGACGCUGAGGAACGAAAGCAUGGGUAGCGAAGAGGAUUAGAUACCCUCGUAGUCCAUGCCGUAAACGAUGUGUGUUAGACGUUGGAAAUUUAUUUUCAGUGUCGCAGCGAAAGCGAUAAACACACCGCCUGGGGAGUACGACCGCAAGGUUAAAACUCAAAUGAAUUGACGGGGACCCGCACAAGUAGUGGAGCAUGUGGUUUAAUUCGAAGAUACGCGCAGAACCUUACCAACACUUGACAUGUUCGUCGCGACUUUAAGAGAUUAAAGUUUUCGGUUCGGCCGGACGAAACACAGGUGCUGCAUGGCUGUCGUCAGCUCGUGUCGUGAGAUGUUGGGUUAAGUCCCGCAACGAGCGCAACCCUCACUUUUAGUUGCCAUCAUUAAGUUGGGCACUCUGAAAGAACUGCCAGUGAUAAGCUGG
Molecule: ribosomal RNA, 921 nt
Filed under: marine metagenome
Description: bacterial SSU rRNA
Rfam family: Bacterial small subunit ribosomal RNA
Source: RNAcentral